This is a long non-coding RNA of Tachysurus fulvidraco (yellow catfish), 430 nucleotides long. RefSeq lists it as uncharacterized. The transcript has 3 exons. Lineage: Eukaryota; Metazoa; Chordata; Actinopteri; Siluriformes; Bagridae. The record is from RefSeq and is a predicted model, not a curated record.
UUCUAAGUAACAAAUGAAUCUAAUACUGUAAACUUUUAAUAAUAAAUAUCACUAACACUAUUGUGCAGUGCUUCUUACUUUCCUGCACCAUCCACUUUAUUAGAAACACCUGUAGACAGUCACGAAGUUUUCUAAUCAGCCAAUCAUGUGUUUGAUUUCUUUGACUUUUAUUGUGGCAUUGUUGAUGGUACCAGAUGAGCUGCAUAAACUCCAGAUCUUGUGGGAAUUUUACAUAAAACAGUCUCCAAGUCUCUCAUCAAAGUGUAAAAACAAUGCCAUGGUUAAAGUCAUAAAGACCAAUAGAUUUCAUGAUUGUGUUCGUGUGGCUCUUUGAGGUCAUCAUCCUGCUGUCUGUGUUAUUGGGCACACUGUACAUUUACCCCAGAAUCUCCAGGAAACCGAGGACACCAGAGAGACCAGGAAGCUCUGU